UGCCAAACUAACCAUCAGAAAUCCUCGGCU
Molecule: non-coding RNA, 30 nt
Filed under: Rattus norvegicus (Norway rat)
Lineage: Eukaryota; Metazoa; Chordata; Mammalia; Rodentia; Muridae
Source: RNAcentral